Nothoprocta perdicaria is the source of this 1035-nucleotide long non-coding RNA. RefSeq lists it as uncharacterized. The record is from RefSeq and is a predicted model, not a curated record. The transcript is spliced from 4 exons. NCBI's taxonomy places the organism in Eukaryota, Metazoa, Chordata, Aves, Tinamiformes, Tinamidae.
UCCUAUGGGGUGGUAUAGCAGCAAGCUUCCAGAAACUGCUCAGCCUGCUCUAAGCAACAUCUUGAUAUGAACUUUAAGGUCUGUUUUGCCAGAGUGAAUGCCCGAAAGUUGGAAGACAUAAGAAUCAAGCCCAAGACUUCAGAUUCCUGUCCAGCCAUAACCAAGCUGCCUGGAYACGCAAUGCUGCAAUUAAAGAGGACCAGCUUUAAGGGCUUUGAGAGAGAAAACAYGAAUUUUCACCAUUGUUGUUCAGGUUUGGCCUUUUUCUGCAGCUACUCAGCGAGGAGUGGUGAUAAAAGGGCCUUACCAACUCCUGCCUAAAUGAACUAUUCUUACUAGUGACCUUCCAUGGAACCAGACUCUUGAAAAUAAUGUUACUCAUGGUGUUUACCAGCAAGUCGAGAUUUAUGCUUUAUACCUAAAGGUGGAGUUUGGAAGACCCAGGCCAGCUAAGUGCAACAUGGCAGCGCUUACAAGGAAGUGGCAGCCUCAACAUCUCUAACAAGAAAGGAAAAGACAGAUGAGAUCCCUUAGGAAUGCAGUAUUUAAGGAGAGAACCAAGAGUCCUUUCAUGAAUGGAGAGAGCACUCCGGUGAGUCCUGGGCUAUCAGCUGUCUUAGCGGCAUGUCGGGGUUUAAGAAUGAUUUGGAUCACAAGCUCUAACAUUUUCCAGACAUUCAGAUUGCAACUUUCUACUAAGCCAGCAAUUUUAUGCUUGCCUUUCCCUGACUCCAACAGUACCUUAAUAUAAGCAGCCAGAUUUUCUCCUGCAUUGUUUUUUAUCCAUUCAGCCAAAAUUAGCAGUCUUCGAGGAUGAACUAUGCCAAGUGAAUUUAAAUCUUGCGGACUAAAAUCCACCUAAAGUUGAUGGAUAUAUUCAUGCCUACUGUUGAAAUCUACCAAUUACUGAGAACUAUGUUAACUUACCAUAGAAACAUCUCAUCUAAUAGCACAGAUGAUGUUGAACUAACUAAUUACAUUAUGGCACAUAGACAAUGAAAAACAUAACGAAGAUGACAGAACAGCAACAGCAGA